This 74-nucleotide transfer RNA is filed under the name Microbacterium phage A3Wally. RNAcentral describes it as "tRNA-Ser". It matches the Rfam family "tRNA". From Rfam's summary of the family: Transfer RNA (tRNA) molecules are approximately 80 nucleotides in length. Their secondary structure includes four short double-helical elements and three loops (D, anti-codon, and T loops). Further hydrogen bonds mediate the characteristic L-shaped molecular structure. tRNAs have two regions of fundamental functional importance: the anti-codon, which is responsible for specific mRNA codon recognition, and the 3' end, to which the tRNAs corresponding amino acid is attached (by aminoacyl-tRNA synthetases). tRNAs cope with the degeneracy of the genetic code in two manners: having more than one tRNA (with a specific anti-codon) for a particular amino acid; and 'wobble' base-pairing, i.e. permitting non-standard base-pairing at the 3rd anti-codon position. Lineage: Duplodnaviria; Heunggongvirae; Uroviricota; Caudoviricetes. The record is from RNAcentral.
GGGGUAUGAGCCAACAAGGUUAAGGCAGCAGUUUUCCAAACUGCGGAACCGAGUUCGAUUCUCGGAUACCUCUC